GGGCCAUUAGUGUGUUGUGGUGCACACAGGAACAACCAUGUAAAGGAUCGUGUUGUGUAAACACAGCCAAGGGUGGGUAUGAUGAGUAUGAAGACACUGAACUCUGAAGACAUUGAAGAGUGUUCUUAAGAUGGGUAUAUUUUCUUAUAAUUGGGCGUCCCACCUAUAUUUUGUGUGUGCAUUGCUACUGUUAUUGAUAUUCGUAAUUUGCACCUAAGAUCGUUGAUUUACAUCUUUAUGCUGAAAUAGAAACUAUAGUUGUACUGUUGUAGGUUGGUCACUAGGUCAGGGAAGCAACUUAGAAUCUGCCACUGUCUAAGCUCUAAAUAUUAUUCAGCAUUUCUUCACAUAUGUCUACUUUUCUGAAAAAGGCAGCAGCUAUAGCAGCCAGAAAGUUUAAUAAUUUACUCAGAUUGGUGCCAUUAUAUGUUUCUUGUAUGGUUUCAGGUGGAAAAAGAGGGAGUGAAAUUCCUACUACAUAUUGUACUAUAGCUGACUGCACGCCUGAAGACUAUAGAAUGAAAAUGCAGAAAUUUAUGUUGUGUGCUACUACUGCCUAAGAGGUCCAAUGCACAACCACUUUUUAUACACUUUUUUUUUUUUUUUGCAUAUUCAUCAGCCUCAUUCUUUAACUAUACAUGGUAAUAGCCACAGAUAUCUCGUACUUGGAAGAAACUUUCUGAUUUUUGUUUUUGAAGGCAAUCAUCAACAUCUAUAUACUUUUACUUCUUAUUUUUUGGAAGAAACUUUCUGAAUUCUGUUUUUAAGGCAAUCAUCAACAUCUAUAUUUGUUUUUCAUGAGAGACUUGGUGAAAUUCCCGAAGAUUUGGGAUCUAACCGAGCCGGACAACCUUUGGUUAAUUAGUGAAACUCAGGAGAGCAGCAAAAUAGAUCAAGUGGAGCGAUAUUUAGAAGCAAAAUGAUCUAUAUGUGUACUUAAAAGGAAUUUGUCUAUGCCCAAUAAGUAGAGUAAUUUUGGUUAUAACUGUUGUUAGUUAUUGCUUUAUAAUUGCACUGGAAGGAAACAACAUUCUAAUUUGAUUUUAUAAGGAAUUAGAGAUUUAUCUCUGUCAUCAAGCUUAUCACUUUUUAGGGAGUACUUAAAUUCGUCCUCAUGAUGCAGGUUCGAGGUAGUGAGUGUUAUUAUUAAGUCAUGCAACCAACUGAAAAUCACCUUCUUGGAGGCUCAAGACAUUACUGAUUUAGGUUCUUUAAAAGAGGCAACAAAGAUUUUCAUUCCAGGUGGGUCAUCACUGUACUCCGCACGUACAAUAAAAAUGAAAGAAGAUGAAGGUUUCAGGACAUAUUAUUUUUAUGAGUUCAGCAGAGAUGAACAACAUGUCGCUCUUGUGGCUGCUGUUAGUGGCGGGAAGGCAGUUGUUGCUGGAGGGACUGCCCCAGAGUCCAAGUGGGAUGAUGAUGGUGUGAAACUUCGUAGUGCAACAUUGUCUCUGACUCUGCUGUAGUGUUACUUUGACAAUUGAGGUUU
Molecule: long non-coding RNA, 1489 nt
Organism: Beta vulgaris subsp. vulgaris (sugar beet)
Lineage: Eukaryota; Viridiplantae; Streptophyta; Magnoliopsida; Caryophyllales; Amaranthaceae
Exons: 5
Source: RefSeq, a predicted model, not a curated record